This 1113-nucleotide long non-coding RNA is filed under the name Sus scrofa (pig). RNAcentral describes it as "lncRNA (ENSSSCG00000056315.1)". Lineage: Eukaryota; Metazoa; Chordata; Mammalia; Artiodactyla; Suidae. The record is from RNAcentral.
CCAUGUUUCCCCUUUGGCAACCAUAAGUUUGUUUUCUAAGUCUGCGAGUCUGUUUCUCUUUUGUAAAGUUCAUUUGUAUCAUUUUUUUUUUAGAUUCCACAUAUAAGUGAUAUCAUAUGAUGUUUGUCUUUCUCUAACUUACUUCACUUAGUAUGAUAAUUUCUCAGUCCAUCCAUGUUGUUGCAAAUGGCAUUAUAUCAUUUUAUGGCUAAUAUUCCCUUGUACCACAUCUUCUGUAUCCAUUCCUCCAUCAAUGGACACUUACAUCGCUUCCACGUCUUGGCUAUUGUAAAUAGUGCUGCAAGGAACACUGGGGUGCAUGUAUAUUUUCGAAUUAUGGUUUUCAUUGGAUAUAUGCCCAGGGGUGGGAUUGCUUGGUCAUAUGGUAGUUCUAUAUUUAGUUUUUUGAGGAACAUCCAUACUGUUCUCCAUAGUUGUUCUUACAAUUUACAUUUCCACCAACAGUGUAGGAGGGUUCCCUUUUCUCCACACCCUUAAGAGAUAUUUGAUUAUCUGCAAUGUGGCUUUUCUCAAGGGCUUUUCAAGGAUAAUUUUUAUUUAUUCAUUUUUAAAGAAAUAAUAGUUGUACUGUUUUCAUAAAAAUGAUUUUGUUGAUUUAAAGAGAGCAAAGUUUCAGAUAUAACACAACUUUCUUAAAUGGAAAUAGGAGAGAUAUAAGUUGCUCUGCGAGGGAGAGAGCACAACCACUCUCCCUGUUCGAAGAGAAACUUAACCUGUCUGUCAUCUCCCACAAGUGUGUCUUGCUGACAGAGAGAGAACUCUUAAGGAUUUUUAAGAAGUCUUUUUGCCAUUGCUCAGAGGUUUUUACUCCCUCUUGAUCACUAUUAAGUGUUCUGGAGACCUUGGUUAUGUUUCUAAUGUUCACCAGAUGCAAGCUGACUCAUGACCAUCCUGACACAUUCUUAAAUGCUUAUUGUAAGGAUGGAUAUAUUGGAGAGCAAUCGCCUAGGGCUGUUUUUCCAGGUGUCCUACUCCCCCUAGCAGAUCCUGGCCUCUUGAAACUAUUCUAGUACACAUAUGAAAUUCGGGGGAAAAAACUGUAACUGCAAUGUAUACAUCUAAGGAUGACCUGACCCCCUUGCUGUACAGUGG